Molecule: non-coding RNA, 119 nt
Organism: Gossypium raimondii (Peruvian cotton)
Lineage: Eukaryota; Viridiplantae; Streptophyta; Magnoliopsida; Malvales; Malvaceae
Source: Rfam
GAGUGCGAUUAUACCAGCACUAAUGCACCGGAUCCCAUUAAAACUUCGUAGUUAAACGUGAUUGGGCGAGAGUAGUACUAGGAUGGGUGACCUCUUGGACAGUCCUCGUGUUGCACCCC